UCUCGAUCAAGAUACCACCGGGAACAUCUCUCCAACAGCUGCAAGAUCAUCUUCAUCAGAGCUGCACAAGAAUCAAGAGGUUCCCCUUCAUCGGCAACACAGCUCUCUGUCGGCUGAUCCGCCCCCUCCAACAUGCUCCUUCCACUGUUCUACCUGAGCUUGCUCGUGGCCCUGACAGGUGCCGACGCGGGGGGUUCAGGGGCUCCUAAGAGUUUUUCUCUGCCACAUACGUUGGACAUCAGCUCCUGUCCCAUCAGCUACUAUGGCCUGAAAUACACCUCUGUCACCGUGA
This is a long non-coding RNA of Cololabis saira (Pacific saury), 292 nucleotides long. RefSeq lists it as uncharacterized. The transcript has 4 exons. The record is from RefSeq and is a predicted model, not a curated record. Lineage: Eukaryota; Metazoa; Chordata; Actinopteri; Beloniformes; Belonidae.